GAGAGAGAUUGUUUAGAACUGUCUAAUCUUUAUUAAGGGAUGAGAUUACAUAUAUAUAGGUCCAUACACUUAGGGUUUUCGAAAUCAUAAGCAUGUAGAGUCAAAGGGGAGCCUAAGCUUUAAUUUGAACCGGCCAAUGGGUGUCUCCACACGUUUGAAGCAUCUUUCUUAUCCAAGACCAGAUGCUCUUCCUUUCCAGCCCUUGCCAGCCUGUCCUAGCUGUCAAGCCGUGCCUUCCUUAUCCUCUCAACGUUCGGAUAAGGUCUUGGCCGAGUGUAACUUCUCCUCAGUACAUCAAAGUUACUUGGAUAGUUACUUGACCGCUUUCACCUUGUACGGCCUGGUCACUUGUACGGCCUGGUACGGCCUCUCCAUCCGUACCAUCCCCUUCACCUUAUUCAGCCUCUUAACCCUUUUGCUCUCCUUAUGAUCUCAACUCCUUUGUGUCUUUACUUCACAUGUCUCAACUCAUCUCAACACUCCCCCUCAAGCUUAGCUUUGUAAAAGCCUAAGCUUGGAUGGCUAUGAGAUCUUCCUCAUUAAAAAACUCACCAAGGAGCUUAGCUUUGUAAAAGCCUAAGCUUGGAUGGCUAUGAGACCUUCCUCAUUAAAAACCUCACCAAGGCUUUGUGUCUUUACUUCACAUGUCUCAACUCAUCUCAACAAACAAUUUCAAAAGGUGAAAACUUAGAAGCAGAAUGCACAGCAUGAUUAUAUGCAAAUUCACAAUGUGGCAGAUAGUCUUCCCAAGAUUUCAGAUUCUUCUUAAUGAAUGCACGCAAGAGUGUUCCUACAGUUCUAUUAACUACCUCAGUCUGUCCAUCAGUUUGCGGAUGACAAGUAGUGGAGAACAACAACUUAGUGCCUAGUUUAGACCAAAGAGUUUUCCAAAAAUAACUAAGAAACUUAGUAUCUCUAUCAGAAACUAUGGUCCUAGGCAUGCCAUGUAAACGCACAAUCUCCUUAAAGAACAGAUUAGCUACAUGUAAUGCAUCAUCAGUUUUGUGACAUGCUAUAAAAUGUGCCAUUUUUGAGAACCUGUCAAAAACAACAAAGAUAGAAUCCUUCCCAGUCCUAGUUCUAGGCAAUCCAACAAUGAAAUCCAUAGAUAUGUCAUUCCAAGGAUGAUAAGGAAUAGGGAGAGGAGUGUACAAACCGUGAGACUGAACCUUAGACUUAGCUUGCUUGCAAGUUGCACAUCUCGCACAUAGUUUCUCCACAUCACUUUUCAUCCGAGGCCAAAAGAAAUGAUCCUGCAAAGUUUUAAGAGUCUUUGCAAUACCAAAGUGACCCAUGAGACUCCCUCCAUGAGAUUCCCUAACAAACAAAUCUCUCAAAGAGCAAUUAGGCACACAAAGUCUAUUAUCAUAAAAUAGGAAUCCAUCAUGUCUAAAGUAAUGUCCAGCAGCAAAUUUCUCACAAGAGUUAUAAGCUUCUUUAAAAUCUGGAUCAGAUUCAUACAUACCUUUAAUCUGCUCGAAACCUAACAACUUGGCAUCAAGAGUGUUUAAGAGAACAUACGUUCGAGAUAGUGCAUCAGCAACUAUAUUUUCUUUACCUUGUUUGUACUUGAUGACAUAAGGAAAGGUUUCUAUGAAUUCUACCCAUCUUGCGUGUCUCUUGCUGAGCUUGUUUUGUCCUUUCAGAUACUUGAGGGACUCAUGAUCAGUGUGUAUCACAAACUCCUUGGGCCACAAGUAGUGCUGCCAAGUCUGCAAAGCUCUCACCAAGGCAUACAGCUCCUUAUCAUAGGUUGCAUAGUUGAGAGUGGCGCCUCCAAGCUUCUCACUGAAGUAAGCUAUGGGUCUCUUUUCCUGCAUCAAAACAGCACCCACUCCAAUACCAGAAGCAUCACAUUCAAUCUCAAAGGUUUUAUUAAAAUCUGGAAGUAUAAGAAGAGGGGCGUGAGUAAGCUUCUCUUUAAGGCAUUGGAAGGCAGUCUCUUGUGCUUCUCCCCACUUGAAUCCGACUUCUUUCUUUAUCACUUCAGUCAAGGGAGCUGCUAUAGUGCUAAAGUCUUUAACAAACCGCCUAUAGAAACCAGCAAGCCCGUGGAAGCUCCUCACUUCACUUAUGGUCUUAGGAAUUGGCCAUUCUUGAAUUGCUCUUACCUUCUCCUGAUCCACUUUUACUCCAUCUGCACUCACAACAAAGCCUAGGAAGACCAAGUUAUCCGUACAAAAAGUGCAUUUCUUAAGGUUAGCAAAGAGUUUUUCUUUUCUCAACACAUCAAGAACAGACUUAAGAUGAUCUAUAUGCUCUUCUAGGUUCUUACUAUAAACAAGGAUAUCAUCAAAGUAUACUACCACAAACAAGCCUAUGAAAGAUCUAAGCACAUGGUUCAUCAAUCUCAUAAAAGUGCUAGGAGCAUUGGUUAAUCCAAAAGGCAUGACUAACCACUCAUACAACCCAUGCUUAGUCUUAAAGGCUGUUUUCCACUCAUCUCCCUCUUUCAUUCUUAUUUGAUGAUAUCCACUCUUCAAAUCUAUCUUAGAAAAGACACUAGCACCAUGCAAUUCAUCAAGCAUAUCAUCUAAUCUAGGAAUAGGGUGGCGAUACUUCACUGUUAUAUUGUUGAUGGCUCUACAAUCAACACACAUGCGCCAGGUCCCAUCUUUCUUAGGCACAAGGAGCACAGGCACAGCACAUGGGCUCAUACUCUCACGGAUAUGACCUUUCUCCAUCAGUUCCUCAACCUGUCUUUGUAGCUCCUUGGUUUCCACAAGAUUAGUUCUGUAUGCUGGUCUGUUGGGAAGAGUAGCUCCUGGUACAAAAUCAAUCUGAUGCUCAAUCCCUCGAAUAGGUGGCAAACCUAUGGGAUUAUCUUCUGGAAAUACAUCAUGGUAUUCCUGUAAAAGAGCUGAUAUCUCACUCGGAUACACCGGUGUACAAUCAAUUAGAGACAAAAGAGAUUCUUUAAAAAUAAAUAAGAGAACCGAUUGAUGAGAGCAAAGAGAUCUUUUGAUUUCGCUAGCUUUAGCAUAGAAGUUGUGUUGCUUAUCUGGUUUGAGAUCAAUCUCUUUCUUUUUCUGAAGCUGAAGCUGAUCUUUGUGCACUUCCUUAGGGGUCAGAGGCACCAAGACAGUUCGUUUGCCGCUGAACUCAAAAGAAUGUUUAUUGGUGAAGCCAUCGUGAAUGACACGCCUAUCAAACUGCCAAGGCCUUCCAAGUAAUAUAUGGCUGGCUUCCAUGGGUAUCACAUCACAGAGAAUGUCAUCUUCAUACCUCCCAAUGGACAAGGGUAUAGAAACCUGAGUAGAUACCCUCAUCUCGCCUUCUUCAUUAAGCCAUUGCAGUCGAUAAGGCCUAGGAUGUUUCUGAAUUUUCAAACCAAGCUUUUUUACCAUGGACUCACUAGCAACAUUGACACAGCUUCCACCGUCAAUGAUCAGGCUGCAGACCUUUCCUUGCACCAGACAACGUGUGUAGAACAAGUUCUCUCUUUGUUCUUGCUCCUCAGUUUUGUUUUGCAAACUGAGAGUCCUUCUUGCAACCAAAAGUCUACCUUGAACUGGUUCCUCUUCAUACUCAGCUUCUGAUAGUUCUUGAUCAGUAGUUGGUUUCUCAUCUUCAGAUUCAAACUCUCCAUUCUCCAGAAGAAUCAUAACUCUCUUGUUAGUACACUCAUUAGCAUAGUGCCCACGCCCUUGGCACUUAAAACACUUCACAUCUCUUGCACGCGAACUUGUAGCCUCCACUUUACCCUUAUCUUUGUUGUAGAUGCUACUAGACUUAGGCUCUUCUUUUGGCUGUGGCUUGCUCUCCUUCUGAUAGCUUGGUUUAUCUUCCUUAGAGGUUUGGUAUCUACUGGAACCAUAGACUAAGGGAACUACCUCCUUGGUGUUAGAUCAAUGAGCCCCAACCUGAUAUGUAUGGACUCCAUUGUCUUGUGUCUUGCAGCCUUGGUAAAGACGUCAGCUAACUGAUCUUCACUUCUGGUAUAACAAGACAAGAUCACUCCAAGAACCAUCAUCUGCCUCACUUUGUGACAAUCAACUUCUAUGUGCUUGGUUCUCUCAUGAAACACAGAGUUGGAGGCAAUGUGAAUUGCUGCUUGAUUGUCACAAUGCAUAGUCAUUGGUGUAGACUGCUCCACGCCUAGAUGCUUUAGUAUCCCCUUGAUCCACACCAACUCAUUGGUCAGCUUCAGCAUAGCUCUAUAUUCAGCUUCAGCACUUGAACACGCCACCACCUUUUGCUUCUUGCUUUUCCAUGUGACAAUGUUGCCUCCAAUGAAGGUGCAGUAGCCGGUGGUUGAUCUUCUGUCCUCUCUAUCUCCAGCCCAAUCAGCAUCACAGUAGCCCACCACUUCAGUACUCUUGUUACAGCCUAGCCAUACACCCUGGCCUGGAGCUCCAUUUAGGUACAUCAAGAUUCUUUCUAUCAUGCACCAAUGAUGUUCCUUUGGUGUUUGCAUGUGUUGGCUCACCUGGUUGACAGCAAAACAUAUAUCAGGUCUUGUGAUUGUUAGGUAGAUUAGCUUACCCACUAGCUUCCUAUAAAGCUUAGGAUCCUGAAGUGGCUUGCUGUCUUCAAGCUGCCCCUUGCGUGGGACUUUAUAUCCAUCCUCCAUUGGCAUCUUGGCUGUCUUUCCUCCAAGAGCCCCUGCAUCCUUUAAAAGAUCAAGUGUAUAUUUCCUUUGAGACAUGAACAAACCUUCCUUGGAUCUACAAAUCUCAAUACCAAGGAAGUAUUUCAUUUCUCCCAAGUCUUUGAUUUCAAAAACAGAUUUCAGAAACUCUUUAGUCUCUUUUAUCCCAACCUUAUCACUACCUGUUAUGAUUAUGUCAUCAACAUACACUAGGAGAGCUAUGAUACCUGAUGGCGUUGUGAGAGUAAACAGGGUGUGGUCAAGCUCGGAUUUGAUGAACCCACGUCCAUUCAGCGUAGUACUCAACUUGUUGUACCAAGCUCUUGGUGACUGUUUCAAGCCAUAAAUAGCCUUCUUUAGUCUCAAGACAUUCCCUGACUUCACUAGAUGUUCAAGGCCCGGAGGAGGAUACAUGUAUACUUCAUCUUCAAGUUCUCCAUGCAAGAAAGCAUUUUUCACGUCCAUUUGCCAAAGCUCCCACUCUAAGUUCACUGCCAAUGACAAUACUAUUCUGAUGGUGUGUAGCUUAGCAACAGGAGCAAAUGUAUCAAUGUAAUCCUCCCCAUAGGUCUGAGUAAACCCUCUUGCCACCAAUCUUGUUUUGCGCCUAUCAAUGGUUCCAUCAGCCUUGUAUUUGAUUGUGAAGAUCCACCUACUAGACACAGCCUUCUUCCCUUUAGGUAGUUCACUCUCAUACCAUGUGUCGUUUUUAAUCAUAGCUCCGGCCUCAUCUCCAACUGAUUCUCUCCAUAGAUCAUCCUGCAUAGCCUCUUCAUAUGACCUCGGUACUUGACUCUUAUCAAGGCUUACCAUGAGCAUGUAAUGUUCAUUAGGGAACUGGGCAAAUGAGCACACUGCUUGUGAUGGAUGAGCAACGGCAUGUGCAUUGUAAUACACCCUUGUAUUAGUCCAAUUCGAUGGAGGUUUCUUUACUCUUGAGCUUCUCCUCAAUGUAACCUCCUCCUGAACUUGUACUGGUUCUGAAGCCUCAACUCUCUCCUCUUCUAGUACUUCUUGUUCCUCUCUUCCAGACCUCUCUUGUCCUUCACUCUCAGGUACACAUACCUCUUCCUCAGGUACAUGUAUCUCUUCUUCUUGACCCUGAUCAUGAGUUCCGGACACUUCUUCUUCUUGUGCAUUUGUCUCGGAUUCUCCCCCCUCAUGAUCAUGGUUAGGUGCUUCUUCAGCUUCGUGUCUCUUGUCACCGUCUUGACUCUUCUGAUCCUGGGUUAAAUUAAUCCCAAGACCCUCCAGAAUACGUCUUAGCCCGGCUGCUCUGUCUGGUGAGUGAGCUAGAUCUUUUAGCUCAUCCCAUUUUCUCUCACUGUAAUAUCCUCUUGAUUCCAUAAACUUCACUUCCCUGGAUAUAAGAACUCUCUUUGCUAUAGGAUCAUAGCAUUUGAACCCCUUUUGAGUAGUUGAAUAUCCAAUGAACAUAGCCCUUGUGCUCUUUGCUUCUAGCUUGUUCCUCAUCCCACUUGGUACCAUCACAAAGCAUACGCAGCCAAACACUCUUAAGUGUGUUAGUGAUGGUUUGAUCUUGUUUAGCACUUCAAAUGGAGACUGAUCCUCAAGCACUCUUGUUGGUAUCCUAUUGAUCAGAUAACAUGCAGAGGCGACUGCAUCACUCCAAAAUCUCUUUGGGACAUUAGCUUGAAACAUCAUAGACCUUGCAACUUCCAUCAGAUGUCUGUUCUUCCUCUCAGCCACACCAUUCUGUUGUGGUGUAUAAGGACAGCUCGUUUGAUGAAGAAUGCCAUGUUGAGCUAAGUGUUGCUUGAAUGCAUGACUUGUAUAUUCUCCACCAUUGUCUGAUCUGAAAAUCUUAAUCUUGGCAUCAUAUUGGUUAGUUACAUAAGUCUGAAAAUUCUUAAAUGCUUCAAGCACCCUAUCCUUAGUUUGAAUGAGUGUUAUCCAGGUGUAUUUGGAUUUUUCAUCUAUGAAUGUGACAAAGUAUUUAAAGUUCUCUCUAGAUAAACAAGGAGCAGUCCAAACAUCAGAGUGAACUAAAUCAAAGCAUUUCUCAUAAAUUGUUUUAGAUCUUUGAAAGACUGUCUUACAAUGCUUACCCAAGAUACAAGCUUCACAAUCAUUAUUUUUAAACAUGACACCUGGUAACAUUAAGCUUAAAGCUCUAACAUGAGGAUGGCCUAAUCUAGCAUGCCAUAAUGCAUCAUCAUUCAAAACAGAAGUAGAACUAAACGAGCAUAUAAAAGAAGCAGGAGCAAUAUCUUCAAGCAUAUAAAGAUCUCCCUUAGUUAUUCCCUUUCCAAUCAACUUACUGCUCUCAAUAUCCUGAAACUUCACAUCAUUAGGACUGAAUAUAACCUUGCAUUGUAAAUCAGUAGUGCAUUUCUUAACAGAUAAAAGAUUGGAUGUGAAUUCAGGCAUAUAGAAUGCUUUAGACUCUUUGUUAAACAGAUUCAGGUUACCAAUACCUUUAAUAGCUACUCUAUCACCAUUUGCAAUCAUAACAUGUCCAUGAGCAGGUUCUAUAUCCUUAAUAAGAUUAGUGUCACUGAUCAUAUGAUGAGAUGCACCUGAAUCUACUAUCAAAGGCUUAAUUUGAUUAUGCACAGCAAGAGUAUUAGGUGAUUCAGUUUUACAUAGCAAUUGUCUAAUGAGUGAUGAUGGCUUCAAAGGCAACUGAUCAUGUACACUAGAUGAUCUAUAUGAUUCAUGUUUAGUAUGCAUUUGAUCAUUUUCUAAUGGUAACCUAUAUGCAGCAAGAGAGUGUCCAAGAGUGUUACCAAAGGAGUUACCAUUGUCCUUGAGAGCCUUAAUGAGAGCAUCAAUGUCUGAUCUACGGAUGGUCUCAUGGUCUGUGCCCUUCACGGAUGCGGUUUGAGUUGCCAAAGCUUUCCCAUCACCGUCUCCCACACGCAUAGCUGAUCCAGAUGCACUGGCUUCACUAGCUUCCAUUGAGAGAUGGGCCCUGGCUUCACGAUCCUUCAUGAACUUUGGCGGCUUGAGGUGGGGAUGAAGUAUCCGGCACUGGCUCCUCUUGUGCCCUGGCUUCUUGCAGUGGUCACAAUUGCCUCCAAACCUCCUCUCCUCUCCAUACCUCUUCUCUUCCGGCUUGUACAUUGCCUUGUUGGCUUGAACGACCUCAGCUUGGUUCGCUAGGGACAGGCUCCCUUUCCCUCCAAACAACCCAAGAGAACCUUCCUCCUUCUGUAUCUGAGCGCACACUUCCUCAAGUGUUGGUAGCUUUGAAGCCCUCAACAUGUGCUUGAUCAGGUCGUUAAAGGCCGGAUUGAGUGUCAAGAGUAAUCCGAACACUUGAUCUUGUUCCCUUCUCUCCAUCAGAGUAUCCUGAUCAAUAGUGUUCGGCCUAAGCAUUUCCAGUUCAGACCACAAGGCCCUGAACCUCCCCAAGUGUUUUGUGAACUCCACAUCUUCUUGCAUCAGUGUGUUGAUUGAUCUCUUCAACUCAAACACACGGCUCAGAUUUGUGGUGUUGCCAUAGACCUUCUGGAGUGUCUCCCACAGGUCCUUUGGUGUCUCACAGUAGCUGUAGGCUUCCAAGAUUGAAGCUUCAAGGGAGCCAUGAAGAACGGUUAGAACCAACAGAUCAUCUUGCUCCCACUUCUCUUGAUCCGCCACCACAAGCUCCUGCCCACCUUCUCCAUCUUUAGCAACUGGUUUAGGAGAUCCAUCCGUGACGUGACUCCACAAACCCUUGCUCCCAACGGCUGUCUUCACCAGCCUUGACCACAGGAGGUAGUUUCCUCCCCCUUUCAAAGUAACCGGAAUGGACAUCUUCUUGUUGCUGCUUGCUUCCAUCUUGCGUUUUCUUGGAUUGAAUCAACAACGAAAAUGUAUAGAUCUCAAACUGAAGCUGAAGAACACACAACGAGAAUCCUCAAGAACUAGUAACCUGGCUCUGAUACCAUAUAAGUUUUAAGUAUUAGGAAAAGUAUGAAGAGAAUGGAUGGAUUUGAGACUGAUUUAGACUAGAAUCAUGAUGAACAAGUAAGGGUUUGAUAAGGAGAGACUCUCCGUGUGUAUUAUUAUUAAUGAACACCAGUUUACAAUAUAUAGAAGGCUGAGACAUAACAAGGGCUAGCUAGGUUAAAUGAAAAGCAUGUGGAGUCAACAGGCAAGGAGCAUCCGGUUUGAAUUGAGUGGCUAAGGAGCUUCACACGCUUUGGUCCUUGGCUAAAGUAGCUUUUACUUUACAGCUAGUGACAGCCUGGAUGUUCCUGCCUUAUCCCUUCAACAUUCUGAUCCAGGAGCUGAGUAAGAUGUGUGAAACUCUAAGUUAACUUCACCGGGGUAACUUGUGGUCGACUCAACUCCUUUCAUCAUCCUGAACUGGUACGGCCUGUACGGCUUCUACAUGUACGGAUGACCUGACCUCAACUCCUCUCCAUUACUCCAUACUUCUCUACACCAUCAGCCUAUUAUCAAGUCUUCCUCUUCAAUUGUUUACUCUGUUCAACAAUAACAAGGUAGAAUCACUCCAAGAAUCAUCAUCUGCCUCACCUUGUGACAAUCAACCUCAAUGUGCUUUGUUCUCUCAUGGAACACAGAAUUAGAUGCAAUGUGGAUAGCUGCUUGAUUAUCACAAUGCAUUGUCAUUGGCGUUGCUUGAAUAAUCUCUAGAUGCUUCAAAAUCCCUUUUAUCCACACUAGCUCAUUUGUAAGCUUCAGCAUUGCUCUAUACUCGGCCUCAGCACUGGAGCAAGACACUACCUUCUGUUUCUUACUCUUCCAAGUGACUAAGUUACCACCAAUGAAUGUACAAUAGCCUGUGGUUGAUCUUCUGUCUGCUCGGUCUCCAGUCCAAUCUGCAUCACAGUAGCCUACAACCUCAAUACUCUUGUUACAUCCCAUCCAUACUCCAAGACCAGUAGUUCCAUUCAGAUACAUCAAGAUCCUUUCCACCAUCCGCCAAUGGUGCUCCUUAGGAACUUGCAUGUGUUGACUGACUUGAUUCACCGCAAAACACACAUCAGGUCUAGUAAUGGUAAGAUAAAUCAACUUCCCCACCAGCUUCCUAUAUAGCUUAGGAUCAUGGAACGGCUUGUUAUCCUCAAUCUCCCCCUCACGUGGAACCUUGUAACCAUCCUCCAUUGGCAUCUUGGCUGUCUUUCCUCCAUAGGCAUCUGCUCCCUUCAAGAGAUCAAUCACAUACUUCCUUUGGGACAUAAACAAUCCUUCCUUUGAUCUGCAUAUCUCAAUCCCAAGAAAAUAUUUCAUUUCCCCCAAGUCUUUAAUUUCAAAGCUUGCCUUGAGAUACUCCUUUGUAGCCUUAAUACCUUCCUUAUCACUGCCUGUGAUGAUGAUAUCAUCCACAUACACAAGCAACACCACAAUACCAGAUGAGGUGGUUAGGGUAAAGAGAGUGUGAUCCAAUUCUGACUUUCUGAACCCUCUCCCAUUCAGUGUAGUACUCAACUUGUUGUACCAUGCCCUUGGAGACUGCUUGAGACCAUAGAUAGCUUUCCUCAACCUCAACACAUUACCCUUCUUUACUAGAUGUUCAAGACCUGGUGGUGGAUGCAUGUAUACUUCAUCUUCUAACUAUCCUUGAAGGAAUGCAUUCUUCACAUCCAUUUGCCACAAAUCCCACUCAAGAUUCACAGCUAAAGAUAAUACAAUCCUGAUAGUAUGAAGUUUAGCCACAGGAGCAAAGGUCUCAACAUAGUCCUCACCAUAUGUCUGAGUAAAUCCUCUUGCCACCAACCUAGACUUUCGCCUCUCUAUUCUUCCAUCAGGAUGAAACUUGAUUGUGAACACCCAUUUACUAGUCACUGCCUUCUUCCCUUUAGGCAGCUCACUCUCAUACCAUGUUUCAUUCUUAAUCAUGGCUCCGGACUCAUCAGCAACUGAAUCUCUCCACUCCUUUAAAGCCAUAGCUUCUUCAUAUGUCCUUGGAAUAUAGCUCUCAUCCAAGCUUACUGUGAAGGCUGUAUGCUCGUCUGGAAACUCUGCAAAGGAACACAUGGCUUGAGAAGGAUGCUCCACAGCCUGGGCAUUGUAGUACACUCUCGUGUUUACCUAGUUGGAAGCAUCUCUCUUCACCCUUGUGCUCCUCCUUAGCUCCUGAACUUGUUCUUCUUGUGGCUCUUGCCCAUCUUCACUUGAUUGAGCACCACUCUCAUUUGAACCAUUAGGAUCUCCUUCCCACUCUCCACUCUCAUCUGAGCCAGUAGACUCUCUUUGCCCAUCUCCACUAGACUGAGCACCAGUCUCUACUUCCUGUGUCACCUCUUGAUUAUGCUGGCCUGAAUCUUCUUGAUUUUGCACUUGCUCAUGAGAUUCAGUUCCAUUCCCCCUCUCAUGAUCAAGAGGAGUUGCUCUUUCAGCUUCACUAGUCGAAUUGGAAGACUCUCUUCUUUCUGAUUCCUGAUCCUGGGAUAACCGUAUCCCUAGCUUCUCCAACAUCACCCUCAGUGUUGUUGCUCUAUCAGAUGGAGCUUGAGACAAAUCCUUCAGAUUUUCCCACUCCUUUUCUUCAUAAUACCCUUUUGAUUCAAUAAACUUCACUUCUCUAGAUACCAUCACUCUCCUUGCUUCAGGAUCAUAGCACUUGUAUCCCUUCAGAGUGAUAGAGUAUCCAAUGAACAUAGCCUUAGUACUCUUUGCCUCCAGCUUGUUUCUCUGUUCUCCUGGGGUCAUGACAUAGCAUACACAUCCAAAUACUCGUAGGUGAUCAAUAAAUGGCUUGCUCUUAUUCAGCACCUCAAAUGGAGACAGAUUCUUCAGUAUCUUGGUUGGGACUCGGUUGAUGAGAUAACAAGCAGUCUGUACAGCAUCUCCCCAAAAACGUUUUGGGACAUUUGCAUGAAACAUCAUCGACCUAGCAACCUCCAUCAAGUGCCUAUUCUUCCUCUCAGCUACACCAUUCUGCUGUGGUGUGUAGGGACAACGAGUCUGAUGCACAAUCCCAUGCUUGGCUAGAUGACUCUUAAAGGCAUUGCUGAUGUAUUCACCUCCGUUGUCUGAUCUCAGCACCUUCACAGUGGCAUUGUAUUGAUUAGAUACAUAUGCUUGGAAGUUCAUAAAAGCUUCUAGCACCCUAUCUUUAGAUGGAAACAAUGUGAGCCAUGUAUACUUAGACUUCUCAUCAAUGAAUGUCACAAAGUAUUUAUGGCUGUCUCUAGACAUGCAUGGAGCGGUCCACACAUCCGAGUGAACUAGAUCAAAGCAAUGCUCAUAAGUAGUCUCAGAUGUUGGAAAAACAGUCCUACAAUGCUUUCCUAAUAUGCAUGCUUCACAAUUCAAGUGAUUGAAUGACAUAUUAGGGAUUAUCAAUUCAAUGGCACGAGCAUGAGGAUGUCCUAAUCUAGCAUGCCAAGUAUACUAUCAAUCUUCUCAGCAGUACUUCUCAAGCAAAUAGAAUCAAAGGGAUUAGAGGUCUUAGCCAAGUUGAGGUGAUAUAGCUGAUUCUUGCUGUCUCCUCUGCCAAUGACUCUCCCAGUCUUCAAAUCUUGAAACUCCACUUCAUCAGGUCUGAAUACUACUUGACAAUCAAGAUCAAUGGUAGCUUUCUUCACAGAUAAUAGAUUUGAAGUGAACUGAGGCAUGUAGAAGGCAGUUGUGUCCUUCUCAAACAGUUUUAGCUUUCCCACUCCUUCUAUUGGGAUCAUGGCACCAUUAGCUAUCAUAACACUCCCUGUUGCAGCCUUGAUCUCACUUAUAAGCCUCCUAUCACUGAUCAUAUGAUGACUUGCUCCAGAAUCAAUCACAAUUGGUUUAGAAGCUCCGGAUUGUAUAGCCUGCUUCCUGCUUGCUGCUAAGGCUUGUACUUGUUCCAUGAACACUCUCCAUUCUUUCCUGGUGAUGCGAUCAUCAGCUCCACUCUCUUUCUCCUGCUCUUUUAACACCCCACUGUCUUCUACUGAUUCCCCCAUGUAGGCUGAGUAAGAACACUCUCCCAUAACUCUCGUUCUACCCUUUCCUAUGUUGAUAGAGGCUUUGGAUAGCAUUCUGCACCUCCUCCUCUUCUGGAAGCCCUCACUCCUACUCCCGGUUAGCCUCCAUGAGCUCUCACUCCUACUCAUGGUUAGCUUCUGGAAGCUCUCACUCCUACUCCCAGUUGGCUUCCAUGAGCUCUCACUCCUACUCAUGGUUAGCCUCUCAUCAUAUCUCAUUAUCCCAUACGCCCUUCUUAUAAGCACACAGACCUCUUCCAUUUCCGGAAGCUGUUCCUCUCUUAGAACCAUCUCCACCAGCCACCCAUAUGAUGACUCCAUACUCGCCAAGAGCUUCAGCACCGUCGCUUGCUCUUGUGUAGUAUCCCCAUCCACAUGAGAUCUCAACCCUUGUAGUUCAACCCAUAAAUGUUGUAGCUUCCUCACAUGGUUAUUAAACCCUUCUCUUCCUGGUUUAACUUCACUAAUCACCUUCUUGACUUCAUACACUCUCCUAAGACUGAUCUUGUCCUCAUAAACAUCUUCAAUCUUCUCAAGCAGUGUACUUUCUUCAAGACUGAAGCAAUCUCCACUUGUUUUUCUUGCUGUCUGAUCUUUCUCAGUAGCUUUACCCUUCAAGGACUCUUCCUUCUCAUAGUUUCUCCAAACUCCACAACUUUUCAGAGUUGUUUUCAUCUGUGAGAACCACCCCCACUCAUUCCCUCUCUCUUUCUUCUCUUCACGCCUUGUUGUACCAGAUUGAAGCAGCUCCAUCUUCUUUAGCCUAGAUCUUCACUCAGAUGCUUCUAAUCUCACACGCCAAGCUUAACCACAAGCUAGACCCCUCUUCUGACCUUGUCAAACACCUAAAGAGACUCCCUUGAAGCUGACUCUCCAAACGAAACACCAACAGACACAAACUUGACUUUUAAAGGAUCUAGCUCUUGAAAAAUCUCUAGAACUCUCAAGAACACUCAAGAACAUUUGGAACCACGAAAUCACUCUCUCCUUUUAAAAGAACCUGGCUCUGAUACCAUAAUAGAUUUAGUGAUUUAAAGAGUGAUUAAGUUUAAUCUGAGAAUUAAAGAGAUUGGAGAUUAAGAACAAGAGAGAGAGAGACUCAAAACUCCAUUAGCUUGAUUAAUGAGAGAGUUUACAACAUAUAUAGAUUAGAGAUACAUAUUUUCGUCCAGGUUCAGUCUAGUUAGGAUAAGAAGCAUGUGUAGUCAAAGAUGCCUUAUUCAAACCAGCAAAUAAGGUUCCUCACAUGCUUGGGUAUCUUGCUUUAGCUUUCCAGCUGGUGCCAGCCUGUCUAAAGCUCUCUUCCCUUGACCAGACCUUAUCCAAACUCCUCCUUGCUUAUCCAGACUCCUUCUGUCGUGUUUCACUCUCCAAAUGGAUGCAAGGUAACUUCCCAAGUCUUUUAACUUAGUUACCACAGUAACAAUAAAGUUACUGUGGUAAAUCUCCAAAGUUACUACCUGCUCCAAAUCCCUUCCUCUAUCCAUGUAUCAACUCUUCAUCUCCUCAUCUCAACACUUUAUUCUCUUAUCUCAACAGAUUCAAGCUAUGGCAACACACAAGACAAUGCAAUAACCCAAAACAUGAGAUUCUGGGACUCUAGACACCACUCACAGCACAAUAAAUAAAGACACAAGCUCUUAUUAAGGGUUAGGAGGUUUGCUUACAACCAAGAGAUCCGAGCUGAUCUCUUAAACCUCCAUGGACACGGCUCACUUGAACUUGGCAGGUUUGAGGCUUGGAUUCAGUAUCCAACACCUCUCCUUGGUGUGUCCAUCCCUCUUGCAAUGCUCACACCUCAGGCCUCUUCUAUCCCCCUUCUUGUACACCGUUUUCAUGGGCUGAGAGCUUCCUUCAGCGUGUGAGGCAAAGGUAAGUGGUUCCUUUGCUCCAAACAAUCCGUGUGAGCCCUCCUCCUUUUGGACUUGAGCACACACCUCUUCAAGGGUAGGUAGCUUCUCAGACCUCAAUAGGUGUUUGAUGAGGCCACUGAAGGUGAGACUGAGAGUUAGGAGGAGGCCAAACACUUUAUCUUGCUCCCUUCUUUCAUUCAACACAUCCGGCUCAAAUGAUUGAGGUCUAAGCAUCUCUAGCUCAGACCAAAGGGCUCUGAACUUUCCUAGAUGAGUAGUGAACUCCUCUUCUUCUUGGGACAUGUUGUUGAUGGCCUUCUUGAUCUCAAAGACUCGGCUGAGGUUGGACAGGUUCCCAUAGAUCUUCUUAAGUGUACUCCAAAGCUCUUUAGCACUCUCAUAGUAGGAGUAGGCUUCAAGAAUGGAUGGAUCCAAGGAGCUUUGGAGUAUGGAGAGGACAGUGAGGUCUUCUUGUAGCCAUCUGUCUUCAGAGACCGGUUUGGAACUUGCUUCACCUUCAGCUUGGGUGGCGACAGCUUUGGAGUGGCUUGGAGCAUCUGAGAUGCAAUGGCUCCAUAAACCCUUUCCUCCUAUGGCUGUCUUGGCUAGGCGUGACCAGAGAAGGUAGUUGGGGCCUUUGAGAGUGACUGGGAUGACAAUGGCUCUUUUGGACUCCAUCUUGAGGCUGGAAAGAGCAAAACUGUCAAGGAACUUCUUCAAAGGCUGGCGCUUGGGAGCUGAGUGAACUGAGCUGAACUGGCGUGGGCUGGAGCUUGUGUUUGUUGCGGAAGCUUCUACCAGGAGUCUGAGCAACCUGGCUCUGAUACCAUGUGAGAUUUUCAGAGUACAAGUGCUUGAGUGAUGUAAGAACAGAUGAGAGAUUUGUGUAUGAUGAAGUAUGAAGAAUAGAAAUGAGUUUAAGAGAAUCAGAGAGAGUAUGGGAGAGACUAAGAGAUUAGGAACGUGUAUGGGAGAUUAGAGAGACAUAGUAACCAGAGAAUAAGAUCCAAGAACAAGUUUAUGAAGAAGAGAGACUCUCUCAGCUUAAAAGUUACAAAAUGAUCCUAAGAGGCUUAUUUAUGCCUUUACACAACUCAGAUCAUAAACCUAGAUCCUAAGGCUGUAAAUUAAAGAUAAAUGGAUGGUUAGGAUGAGAGGAAGCUGGUCUUUGAUGUUCUGGUGCUAGCUGGUCUUUGAUGUUCUGGUGCUAGCUGGUCGUGGUUGGACUGAAUGGAGGGCUCAGAUUGCUUCAUUUGAAUUGGAUGGAUCAGAUGAGUCAAGGCUGUAAAGGUAAAGCACCUUUACCUUUCCAGCUCAUACCAACAGCUCACCUUAUCCAUUUGAUUCUUCCUUUGCCUCCAAGACUCCCCAACGGACACUAUAGGAAAGGAUAGAAUCAGAGUGAACCACCCUCACAUUGCACAUCUUGAUUUGGGCUGAACCGGAUGACUUGGGCGUGUGGAGUGGCCGUACGGUUGAUGGUACGGACCUCCUGUCCGUACCACUAUCCCUAACAAUGCACAAUGCCUUAUCUCCUUCUUGACUGACCCCAACCACCUUCAUGAUUCACCCUCGACCGUACAAGGCCGUACCAUGGCCGUACCACUCGCCCUAGCUUUGCACCUAUGGCCAUCUUCUCUCUAACUCCUCCAAACCCUUAACAUGAUCAGUCUAAGUCUUUCCUAGACUUAACUUCACAAGAUAACUACUUCAGAACACUUCUGAAGCUUGAUUGAACUCUUCUGGACAUCUUCUAGAGCUUGCCCUAUUAUUGUACAAGCUCUAUCUUCUCUUCAGUUCAACACUCCCCCUCAAGCUUGACUUUAGGAGAUCCUAAGCCAAGCUUGGAACUCUGAAGAGUCUCCCUCAUUAAAAACCUUACAAGGAAAACCCAUUGGGACAAAACCUUGAAAGGGAAAAAGAGUAGAGCUCUCCAAAGCCUAGGGAUUGGCCAGUGAGCUCUUGUGCCUUAGAACCAGUGUGGUUGGACACAAGAAGCUCUGGAUCACGGCCUAAUAGGUGCAGCAACACUUCACAGCUUUGCGCACACUUCACACUUCAGCUUCACCUCUUCAUGGAACCGGUUUGAAGUCUCCCCCUCUCAACUGACUUCACAGCCAUCUUAGAGAAGCUAGGACACGACCAGAUCAUCUUCAAAACACCAGUAAGGCUGAUCAACACUUCAAACUAUGCUUGCCCUCUUCAUAGAACUGGUUUGGAUCUCCCCCUCUCAACUGACUUCACAGCCACCUUAGAGAAGCUAGGAAAUGACCAGGAACAUCUUUAGUGAGACUCAAGCAAUGGUACCUGAUACAUUAUCCCAAAGGUGGAUCAGUACUUAUCAAGGAACAUCACACAAUCCAUUCAAACAUUUUAAGUAUCAUUUCUAAACUUUGAUUUGAAAUGAUGAAUGUAUUGAAUUGAAUUGAGCUUAGAACACUUCCCUUUUGUUUUGGUGAGUUCCCACUCGGCCAUUGCACCAUCUCCAUGGCAUCAUCAACUUCUUGGAAAGGCAGAAUGGAUUCAUCAGAUUCUCAUCUAUCACUUCACCAUAGAAGCCGCUUUGAUGAGUUCACCUUCACCCUUAGACUGCCUAGAAUAGCUUCGGCUGAUGAUCCUUUGUAGGAGCCUUUGCAAAGACUUGUUACUGACCAUGGAUCAUAUGCAUUAAGACUCCCCCUCAAGCUUAGAACCGAGACUAGAAGGAGCUAAGCUUGUGAUGAUCAUAUGCAUCCCCAUGGUCUUAUUAAACACUUUUGUGUUUUAGAGUGUGUUUAAUAAUAAUCAGAGAAGAUUAGAGUAAAGUUUAGAGAGAAUAGAGAGAUUCUAGAGAGAGAUAGACUCAAAACUCCAUUAAUUAAUUUAUGAGAGAGUUUACAAUCAUAUAUAGAAAAGAGAUACAUGAUUUCGUCCAGGUUCAGUCUAGUAAGGAUAAGAAGCAUGUGUAGUCAAAGAUGCCUGAUUUGAACUAGCCAAUAAGAGUCCCCACAUGCUUGGGUAUCUUGCUUUAGCUUUCCAGCUGGUUCCAGCCUGUCCAAGGCUGUCACACUCUUUGGUUAUGACCAGACCUUAUCCAAACUUCUCCUUUCCUAUCCAGACUACUCCUUAGGCGUGCUCCACUCUCCAAAGGUAACUUCCCAAGCUCUUAACUUAGUUACCACAGUAAAACUAAAGUUACUGUGGUAAAUUCCCAAAGUUACUGACAGCCCAAAUACUCUUCCUCUAUCAAUGUAUCUUCUCUCUAUCCUCUCAUCUCAACACUCCCCCUCAAGCUUGACCAUGUGGAACAAGUCAAGCUUGGAAACCAUGAAGACCUCCCUCAUUAAAAACCUCACCAAAGAAAACCCAUUGGGAUAAAACUUUGAUGAGGGAAAAAGAGUGGAGACUCCAUGGUUAAGGGGCUCAGCUCCUGGGAGUAAGAUCAAUGAGUCCAAGCCUGGAUAGUAUGGACUCCAUUGUCUUCAAUCUCGCUGCCUUGGUAAACACAUCUGCAAGCUGAUCUUCACUCCUUGUAUAACAUGGCAGAAUCACUCCUAAGAUAAUCAUCUGCCUCACCUUAUGACAAUCCACCUCUAUGUGCUUUGUUCUCUCAUGAAACACUGAGUUGGAGGCAAUGUGGAUAGCUGCUUGAUUAUCACAAUGCAUAGUCAUAGGAGUACUCUGCUCAAUCUCUAGAUGCUUCAAGAUCCCCUUGAUCCACACCAACUCGUUUGUCAGCUUCAACAUGGCUCUAUACUCAGCUUCAGCACUUGAACAAGAGAUAACCUUUUGCUUCUUACUCUUCCAAGUAACCAAGUUCCCUCCAAUGAAUGUACAAUAUCCAGUAGUUGAUCUCCUGUCCACUCUAUCUCCUGCCCAAUCAGCAUCACAAUACCCAACCACUUCUGUACUACCAUUGCAACCCAUCCAAACUCCUUGACCAGGCUUACUCUUCCAAGUAACCAAGUUCCCUCCAAUGAAUGUACAAUAUCCAGUAGUUGAUCUCCUGUCCACUCUAUCUCCUGCCCAAUCAGCAUCACAAUACCCAACCACUUCUGUACUGCCAUUGCAACCCAUCCAAACUCCUUGACCAGGCGUGCCACUCAAAUACCUCAGUAUCCUAUCAACCAUCUUCCAAUGAUGUACCUUUGGCGCCUGCAUAUGCUGACUCACU
RNAcentral lists this long non-coding RNA (18480 nucleotides) under Brassica napus (rape). Its description in RNAcentral is "long non-coding RNA (BNAP_LNC021057)". The record is from RNAcentral. Lineage: Eukaryota; Viridiplantae; Streptophyta; Magnoliopsida; Brassicales; Brassicaceae.